AGCACCCCAAUCGGACCAAUACAUCCAACUAAGAGGGAGAGAAGAAUGAAACGAAAAAAAGGAUGUAUAGAGAUAAAAUCGCCCAAAUGUAUGCAACUGACAUCAUUUGCUUUUAAUGCAUACAUAAAUAACUAAAGUAAUGUACUUUAUCAACUACCGAACUACUGGGUAUUACAACAACUACAACUAUAACAAAUGACAUGUCAAGCCCAGACAGACACUUGCCUGCACAUGUUUAUUUAUACAUAAGAUUUGUUGUAACUUAUGCUGGCAAAAGAAAUUGUUUCAUUCCCUUCUAAACAUUAUUACAAUUUGAACAGAACUGCUAUUGAUAAAAUUACAGUGGUUAAAUGGUGUCAACACUGGCUAAAUGAAAAAGCUGCUGGCUAAAGCAGCAACUGCUGAAAACGUGGCGGAUCUUAAAGAGCAACCAAAAUAGUACAAGCAAUAGCAGCUGUAGAAGUUUUUGAACAACUAAAGCUUUUUGAAAGUGUACGUAUGUAAAACCCACCAAAUAUUAAAUGAAACAACAACUACAACAAUGUUGUUUGU
Molecule: long non-coding RNA, 552 nt
Organism: Lucilia cuprina (Australian sheep blowfly)
Lineage: Eukaryota; Metazoa; Arthropoda; Insecta; Diptera; Calliphoridae
Exons: 4
Source: RefSeq, a predicted model, not a curated record